This 509-nucleotide ribosomal RNA is filed under the name Enterococcus faecium. Its description in RNAcentral is "bacterial SSU rRNA". It matches the Rfam family "Bacterial small subunit ribosomal RNA", at positions 23 to 504 of the family's 1533-position model. The record is from RNAcentral. Lineage: Bacteria; Bacillati; Bacillota; Bacilli; Lactobacillales; Enterococcaceae.
CUCAGGACGAACGCUGGCGGCGUGCCUAUACAUGCAAGUCGAACGCUUCUUUUUCCACCGGAGCUUGCUCCACCGGAAAAAGAGGAGUGGCGAACGGGUGAGUAACACGUGGGUAACCUGCCCAUCAGAAGGGGAUAACACUUGGAAACAGGUGCUAAUACCGUAUAACAAUCGAAACCGCAUGGUUUUGAUUUGAAAGGCGCUUUCGGGUGUCGCUGAUGGAUGGACCCGCGGUGCAUUAGCUAGUUGGUGAGGUAACGGCUCACCAAGGCCACGAUGCAUAGCCGACCUGAGAGGGUGAUCGGCCACAUUGGGACUGAGACACGGCCCAAACUCCUACGGGAGGCAGCAGUAGGGAAUCUUCGGCAAUGGACGAAAGUCUGACCGAGCAACGCCGCGUGAGUGAAGAAGGUUUUCGGAUCGUAAAACUCUGUUGUUAGAGAAGAACAAGGAUGAGAGUAACUGUUCAUCCCUUGACGGUAUCUAACCAGAAAGCCACGGCUAACUCG